ACUUUAUAGGAUAGUAGUAAUCCAUUGGUCUUAGGAAUCAAAAACUUGGUGCAACUCCAAAUAAAAGUA
This 69-nucleotide transfer RNA is filed under the name Neotoma lepida (desert woodrat). It matches the Rfam family "tRNA". From Rfam's summary of the family: Transfer RNA (tRNA) molecules are approximately 80 nucleotides in length. Lineage: Eukaryota; Metazoa; Chordata; Mammalia; Rodentia; Cricetidae. The record is from Rfam by way of RNAcentral.